This is a long non-coding RNA of Nymphalis io (European peacock), 366 nucleotides long. RefSeq lists it as uncharacterized. The transcript has 2 exons. Lineage: Eukaryota; Metazoa; Arthropoda; Insecta; Lepidoptera; Nymphalidae. The record is from RefSeq and is a predicted model, not a curated record.
UUUAUAGCAAGAGUUAUUGUUUAAUUAAUCUUAAAACCAUAAUUUACGUUAAGCCAUUUCAUGAUGAAGUUUUCGUUGAUUAUUUUGAUCUCUUUUAUUUUCAUUCAACUAUUGCCAAUGGAUGUGUCUGGGAAGUCGCAUGGCGUUACAGAUGACAAUUACGCGAACAGAAGAUCGUUCACGGUGUCAUUCAAGUCUAUGGGUUCUCUUAGAAGUGUUCCCAAAAAACGGAAGAUCAACUUUAAACAUUUUCCGUCUCUUUUUAAUUAAGUUUGAGGAAAUAAAAUGCACUUUACCAAAUCUCUCUCAAUUUUAAACUAAAAGAUUAUAUCGUAUGUGUUAAAAUAUAAUGCAAUAAUUGUUAUC